AAACCUGACAUUGUAGUUACUUGGAUUUCAGCCAUAUUCUUGAACAUGAUGAACUUCACAACCUGGCUGGACGGCUGAGUGAACUCAAAGAAGAACUGCGGAAAGCUAAAGAGACCAACCAACCCUCCACCUCUCCAGGAGGUCAACAGGAAACACAGACUCCUUCCCAAAAGGACUCUGAGGGGAUUGAAGAGAUGGAGAUGGAAUCUUUACUGGGUCCUGAGAGGGGAGGAAGAGUUUAGUUUCCUUAGUUAAAUAGUUAACUCUUGUUAGAAUCUGUUACAGACUCUCUUAUGUCCAGUACCUGAUAAUCAGGUAUAUCAACAAGACCACAGGACGAAUGUCUCCUGUUAGAAUCUGUUACAGACUCUCUAAUGUCCAGUACCUGAUAAUCACAGGUUUCUCA
Molecule: non-coding RNA, 406 nt
Organism: Salvelinus sp. IW2-2015
Lineage: Eukaryota; Metazoa; Chordata; Actinopteri; Salmoniformes; Salmonidae
Source: RefSeq, a predicted model, not a curated record